UACGAAGGGGGCUAGCGUUGCUCGGAAUCACUGGGCGUAAAGGGUGCGUAGGCGGAUUGCUAAGUCAGGGGUGAAAUCCUGGAGCUCAACUCCAGAACUGCCCUUGAUACUGGCGGUCUCGAGUCCGGGAGAGGUGAGUGGAACUGCGAGUGUAGAGGUGAAAUUCGUAGAUAUUCGCAAGAACACCAGUGGCGAAGGCGGCUCACUGGCCCGGUACUGACGCUGAGGUGCGAAAGCGUGGGGAGCAAACGGG
This 253-nucleotide ribosomal RNA is filed under the name uncultured bacterium. RNAcentral's name for it is "partial 16S ribosomal RNA". It matches the Rfam family "Bacterial small subunit ribosomal RNA", at positions 524 to 776 of the family's 1533-position model. The record is from RNAcentral.